CUGGAAGUAUGAGAAAUAGAGGAGCAUGAGCUAAGAAACGAGCCAUGUGCCUGUCUCUGCAGCCAGCCAGCCACACAAAUGGGCAGAUUUGUCAGUGUGCAGAGGGAGCCCAUAGGUAGGGGUGAGCUCGUGUUCCCUUGUCCAGGUGACAAGGCUGUACAGAGCCCUGUGUGGUGUGGGUCAGAACUUGUGCUUUCGUUGCAUCAGAUUUAACCCCACACUUGCAGGCCCAAUUGAUGAUCUUGAUCAUUGAUCCUAUUGACUUUUCCUGCCUUAUUUUUUGAGCAAACGAAUGCCUGGAUUUUUCUAACAUGCUUCCAUUCAAAUUCUCUACCCCAAGGGCCUCAAAAGGACAUUUCAGCUUCUCAGAUCCUGUGUUUGAAUAGCUAGUGCUCCUUGCUCUGCCAAAGGAUGGAUUCGCCUUGCUUGCACGUUCCUCUGACCUGUGCAUAGGCAGACAGAGGACAAAUGUUUGUUGAUGGGAAGCGCUAUUCAUCACGCAACACAACUAAAAUCCUCGGAGGGCCCCAAGAAGGAGUAGCUGGAAAAGCCAUGUCCACCCUGCACCUUGCAAGCUGCAUGUGGUGUCCCUGGACAGCUAGUAAUCGGGCCCUAUGAGAAUUUCCACACGAUGUGUGCUUCGGUGAUAUUUUUCAUGCCUGGAAUGUGUAGGGGUUGAGCGCGAACUUCACAGGCAAUGAAGCAGAAGCAGAUGUAUGAGUUUUCUUAUAUAGUCGUUGAAUUUGGGCUUGUGUUAUUUGAUUCUAAUGUUAUAACAAAAACAUUUAAAAAUAAAGUUUUGUUACUUACAUACAUGGACUGUAGUAUAUAUUUUACUGAAUC
This 843-nucleotide long non-coding RNA is filed under the name Fukomys damarensis (Damara mole-rat). Its description in RNAcentral is "lncRNA (ENSFDAG00000024824.1)". Lineage: Eukaryota; Metazoa; Chordata; Mammalia; Rodentia; Bathyergidae. The record is from RNAcentral.